AGGAGGUUUGUGUUCAUUCGAUCAAUUGGAUAAAGGAGUCUGAUUAAUAAUCUCCUUGCUGAUAUUCAGUAGUCAGUAGAAAGUGGGCAAUCACAGCUGGUUUUUGGGGCUAUAUUUUGUUUUUUACUAAUUUUUUCUCUCUCUAGGGUUUAGGGUUUUCGGAGUGUAAUGGAUGAUCUCGAAAAGGCGAUUCUGAUAAGCUUUGAUGAAUCCGGUGCAGUUAAUUCAGGGCUGAAAGAACAAGCCGUUGCUUUUAUUCAGCAGAUUAAAGAGAACCCAUCUGUUUGCAGCAUAUGUAUAGAAAAACUGUGUUUCUCUAAGCUAGUUCAGGUUCAGUUCUGGUGUUUACAGUGCCUCCACGAGGUGCUUAGAGUUAAGUACUCGUCGAUGGCACCGGAGGAGAAGUCUUUUAUUCGGAAGUCCGUUUCUUCGAUUGCUUGCUGCGAACCUGUACAUGCUAAUGAUAGUAGUUCGGCGAGCAUAUUGGAGGGCCCAUCAUUUAUUAAGAAUAAGCUUGCUCAGGUUGUGGUGACCUUAAUUUAUUUCGAGUAUCCGUCGAUUUGGCCGUCUGUUUUUGUUGAUUUCUUGCCGAAUUUGAGUAAAGGAGCUAUGGUUAUCGAGAUGUUUUCUCGGGUUCUCAAUGCGCUGGAUGAUGAAAUAAUUAGCUUGGAUUAUCCACGUAGCCAGGAUGAUGUGGCGGUGUCGGGGAGGAUUAAAGAUGCCAUGAGGGCUCAGUGUGUUCCUCAGAUUGUUGGAGCAUGGUACGACAUUAUUUCGAUGUAUAGGAAUUCGAACCCUGAGCUCUGCUCCAGUGUGUUGGAUUCUUUGAGGAGGUACAUUUCGUGGAUUGACAUUGGGUUGAUUGCUAAUGAUGCGUUUACUGGUCUGUUAUUUGACUUGAUGUUAGUGGAUGGGUUACUGGAUCAGCUUCGAGCUGCUGCAGCCGGUGCUGUUCUUGCAAUGGUCUCGAAAAGGAUGGAUUCCAAAUCGAAACUCUCUCUUUUGCAAAACCUUCAAAUAAGAAGGGUUUUUAGGUUGGUUGCAGGGGAUAGUGACUCGGAGUUGGUCUCGAGUGUGGCUGCUUUGCUCACGGGGUAUGCCACUGAAGUUCUAGAAUGUUCCAAGCGUUUGAGUACAGAGGAGGGUAAGGGGGUUUCGUUAGAACUCCUAAAUGAGGUUCUGCCAUCAGUUUUUUAUGUCAUGCAAAACUGUGAAGUUGACUCCGCAUUCAGCAUUGUGCAGUUUCUGUCAGUUUAUGUUGGCACAAUGAAGAGCCUUUCCGCAUUGACGGAAACACAGCUGCUUCACGUGGGUCAAAUAUUGGAAGUUAUCCGUUCGCAGAUUCAGUUUGAUCCAAUGUACCGUAAUAACCUGGACUUGUUGGACAAGAUUGGGCGUGAAGAAGAAGACAGAAUGGUGGAAUUUAGGAAGGAUUUAUUUGUAUUGCUCCGCAAUAUAGGUCGUGUUGCACCAGAUCUUACUCAGGCAUUUAUUAGGAGCUCAUUGGAUAACGCCGUUUCAUCCUCAGAAGAUAGAAAUGCAGAAGAAGUUGAAGCAUCUCUUUCCUUAUUUUAUGCGCUUGGAGAAUCAUUAAGUGAUGAUGCAAUGAGGACUGGUACUGGUUUACUGAAAGAGUUGGUCCCGAUGCUUUUAUCCACAAGAUUUCCUUGCCAUUCCAAUAGACUGGUUGCACUUGUUUAUUUGGAAACAAUAACAAGAUAUGUGAAGUUCGUAACGGAGAAUACACAAUAUAUUCCAAUAGCAUUGCAGGCUUUUCUUGAUGAGAGAGGUAUACACCAUCCUAACGUCAAUGUAUGUCGAAGGGCUAGUUAUCUUUUCAUGAGGGUUGUGAAAUUGCUAAAAUCGAAGCUUGUGCCUUAUAUUGAGACAAUCUUGCAGAGUCUACAGGAUACAGUUGCCCAAUUUACGAGAAUGAGCACUGCCUCAAAGGAGCUUUCAGGAUCUGAAGAUGGAAGUCAUAUUUUUGAGGCAAUUGGCUUGUUAAUUGGGAUGGAAGAUGUACCUGUUGAGAAGCAAUCUGAUUAUCUAUCUGCACUGUUAACUCCACUUUGUCAUCAGGUUGAGGUGGCCCUCUUAAAUGCCAAGUCUCAUAAUCCUAAAGAGCCUCUUGCACAGAUUGAAAAUCUUCAGCAAAUAGUUAUGGCCAUUAAUGCUCUUAGCAAGGGUUUCAGCGAGCGUCUUGUAACUGCUACCCGCCCUGGAAUUGGUCUCAUGUUCAAAAAGACUUUGGAUAUUCUCCUGCAAAUACUUGUCGUCUUCCCAAAGAUAGAACCCCUUCGCUCCAAGGUCACGUCAUUUAUUCACCGUAUGGUGGACACUUUAGGAUCUUCUGUGUUUCCCUAUCUUCCGAAGGCACUGGGCCAGUUGCUAACUGAAAGUGAGCCCAAGGAACUGGUGGGCUUUCUUGUACUCCUCAACCAGCUUAUCUGCAAAUUCGGUACCGAGCUCCGUGACAUUCUGGAAGAAGUAUACCCUGUUAUUGCUCACAGGACAUUCAAUAUUCUCCCAAGGAAUGAUAUUCAGUCCGGACCUGGCAGCUGUGCGGAGGAAAUUCGCGAGUUGCAAGAUCUCCAGAGGACAUUUUUUACAUUUCUAAAUGUUAUUGCUACACAUGAGCUUUCCUCUGUUUUCCUAAACCCCAAAAGUAGUGGAUACCUGGAUAUGAUGAUGCAGUUGCUGUUGUACGCAUGUUGUAAUCACAAGGAUAUCCUUAUAAGAAAGGGAUCUGUACAAAUAUUCAUCAGGCUAAUUAAGGAGUGGUGUGCUGGUCCUUAUGGCGAAGAAAAGGUACCUGGUUUCAAGAGUUUUGUGAUUGAAGCAUUUGCAAUGAACUGUUGCCUGUACAGUGUUCUAGACAAAUCCUUUGAGUUUCGCGACGCAAAUACUGUGGUCUUGUUCGGGGAAAUUGUAUUGGCUCAAAAGGUCAUGUAUGAGAAAUUUGGCAACGAUUUCCUUCUUAAUUUUGUUUCCAAAGGUUUUCAAAAUGUCCAUUGUCCUCAAGACUUGGCAGAGCAAUACUGUCAAAAGCUGCAGGCUAAUGACUUCAAGGCACUGAAAUCCUUCUACCAGUCUUUCAUUGAAAAGUUGAGACCCCAACAAAACGGCAGCCUCGUUUUCAGAUAACAAUUCGCAAACAUUAUUACAUGUAAUGAUGCUAAGCUCAAAUUUUGUAGCCUGUUGUUCCAUAAUCGUCCACCAAAAGGUUUCUUUGAGUGUAUAUACCAUUUUGUUUGCCUAUCACGGACAGCGAGGUGUAAAUUUGCGGAAUUUCAUUUUUUUUUCUUCCAUAUGAGUUCGUGUUUUGAAUUAGAAGUAUCGUGUUCGAAGAAGGCUAAGAUUCUCUAUCUCUGGUUUAAUGGUGCCAUAAUGGGUUUGGGUGGAAUCAACCGGUUUUAUUUUGUUGAGGAAACGGGGAAAAAAUAAAAAAAUCAAAAAUCAAAAUUUUGUAUUAAUUAAUUAGCCAUGGACCUGGAAAUGUUUCUGCAAUUCAGUCCGGUUAUAUAUAUUAGCUCCAUUUGAUUCAAUAAUUUCGUACAUAGCUUAUUAAUUAAUUGGUACAUUUUUUUUUGUUAGGAUAUUAAAUUGUGGUGUGUAUUAUUUUUUUGUAUAUGUACAUUUUGCCGAAGCCAAAUUGGACUA
Molecule: non-coding RNA, 3660 nt
Organism: Erythranthe guttata (spotted monkey flower)
Lineage: Eukaryota; Viridiplantae; Streptophyta; Magnoliopsida; Lamiales; Phrymaceae
Source: RefSeq, a predicted model, not a curated record